AUUCAGUGUUGAUUUCAGUUAAGGGAACCCUCUCUCUACUAGUAAUUAAACUUUGAGACAUUGAAAUUGGCUGAGGGAAAUGACUGAAUAGAGUGUAUUAGAAUACUCAUAUAUUUCUCACAUAGAUAG
Molecule: small nucleolar RNA, 129 nt
Organism: Mus pahari (shrew mouse)
Lineage: Eukaryota; Metazoa; Chordata; Mammalia; Rodentia; Muridae
Source: RefSeq, a predicted model, not a curated record